GGGUUGUUAGCUCAGUUGGUUUAGAGCACAUGCUUGACAGGCAUGGGGUCGGCAGUUCGAAUCUGCCACAACCCA
Molecule: transfer RNA, 75 nt
Filed under: Bacteroidales bacterium
Lineage: Bacteria; Pseudomonadati; Bacteroidota; Bacteroidia; Bacteroidales
Description: tRNA-Val
Rfam family: tRNA
About the family: Transfer RNA (tRNA) molecules are approximately 80 nucleotides in length.
Source: RNAcentral